RNAcentral lists this ribosomal RNA (400 nucleotides) under uncultured bacterium. Its description in RNAcentral is "bacterial SSU rRNA". It matches the Rfam family "Bacterial small subunit ribosomal RNA", at positions 358 to 774 of the family's 1533-position model. The record is from RNAcentral.
GGAAUAUUGCACAAUGGGGGGAACCCUGAUGCAGCGACGCCGCGUGAGCGAGGAAGUAUUUCGGUAUGUAAAGCUCUAUCAGUAGGGACGAAAAAAGACGGUACCUGACUAAGAAGCCCCGGCUAACUACGUGCCAGCAGCCGCGGUAAUACGUAGGGGGCAAGCGUUAUCCGGAUUUACUGGGUGUAAAGGGAGCGUAGACGGCAUGGCAAGCCAGAUGUGAAAGCCCGGGGCUCAACCCCGGGACUGCAUUUGGAACUGUCAGGCUAGAGUGUCGGAGAGGAAAGCGGAAUUCCUAGUGUAGCGGUGAAAUGCGUAGAUAUUAGGAGGAACACCAGUGGCGAAGGCGGCUUUCUGGACGAUGACUGACGUUGAGGCUCGAAAGCGUGGGGAGCAAACA